GAUGAAGAACGCAGUGAAAUGCGAUAAGUAAUGCGAAUUGCAGAAUUCAGUGAGUCAUCGAAUCUUUGAACGCACAUUGCGCCCUGUGGUAUUCCGCAGGGCAUGCCUGUUCGAGCGUCAUUUCAACCCUCAAGCUCCGCUUGGUGUUGGGCCCUGCCCCCGCGGCCGGCCCCAAAGACAGUGGCGGCGCCGCUCGGCCCUAAGCGUAGUACAUCUCUCGCUCUAGGACCCGGCGGUGGCCUGCCAGAACCCCCAACUCAUGUGGUUGACCUCGGAUCAGGUAGGGAUACCCGCUGAACUUAAGCAUAUCAAUAAGCGGAGGA
This 323-nucleotide unclassified non-coding RNA is filed under the name soil metagenome. RNAcentral's name for it is "partial contains 5.8S ribosomal RNA, internal transcribed spacer 2, and large subunit ribosomal RNA". The stretch from base 1 to 120 matches the Rfam family "5.8S ribosomal RNA", at positions 35 to 154 of the family's 154-position model. The record is from RNAcentral.